Molecule: ribosomal RNA, 414 nt
Filed under: uncultured bacterium
Lineage: Bacteria
Description: bacterial SSU rRNA
Rfam family: Bacterial small subunit ribosomal RNA
Source: RNAcentral
UGGGGAAUAUUGGACGAUGGGCGCAAGCCUGAUCCAGCCAUGCCGCGUGGGUGAUGAAGGCCCUAGGGUUGUAAAGCCCUUUCGGCGGGGAAGAUAAUGACGGUACCCGCAGAAGAAGCCCCGGCUAACUACGUGCCAGCAGCCGCGGUAAUACGUAGGGCGCAAGCGUUGUCCGGAAUUAUUGGGCGUAAAGAGCUCGUAGGCGGUUCGUCGCGUCGGCUGUGAAAUCCCGGAGCUCAACCCCGGGUCUGCAGUCGAUACGGGCGGACUUGAGUUCGGCAGGGGAGACUGGAAUUCCUGGUGUAGCGGUGAAAUGCGCAGAUAUCAGGAGGAACACCGGUGGCGAAGGCGGGUCUCUGGGCCGAUACUGACGCUGAGGAGCGAAAGCGUGGGGAGCGAACAGGAUUAGAUACC